RNAcentral lists this long non-coding RNA (245 nucleotides) under Mytilus galloprovincialis (Mediterranean mussel). Lineage: Eukaryota; Metazoa; Mollusca; Bivalvia; Mytilida; Mytilidae. The record is from RNAcentral.
GUUCAGCAAAGUAAGAUCUACAAAUAAGUUUACAUAACCGAAAUGGUCAAAUGACCCCUUUAGGAGUUAUUGCCCUUUAUAGUCAAUUGUUUAACCAUUUUUUGUAGAUCUUAGUAAUCUUUUACAAAAAUCUUCUCCUCUGAAACAACUUGGCCAAAUUAAACCAAACUUGGCCACAACUAUCAUUGGGGUAUCUAGUUUGAAAAUGUGUGGCGUGACCCGGCCAACCACCCAAGAUGGCCGCC